GACGAACGCUGGCGGCGUGCUUAACACAUGCAAGUCGAACGGAAAGGCCCUGCUUUUGCCGGGUGUUCGAGUGGGGCACGGGUGUGAUACAUAGGAGUAUCCCGCCCUUUGCUUUGUGAUAUCUUCAGGAAACCGCGGCUAACACCGGAUAUGAGAUCCUGCAGCUGGGGGGGGUUUGGAAAGUUUGGGCGGUUGGGGAUGGAUGCGGGGCUUAUCAGCUUGUUGGUGGGGGAGUUGCUAACCAAGGCAUUGACGGGUAGCCGGCCUGAGAGGUGGACCGGCGACAAUGGGACUGAGAGAGGGCCCAGACGCCUACGGGAGGCAGCAGUGGGGAAUAUUGCACAAUGGGCGGAAGCCUGAGGCAGCGACGCCGCGUGCGGGAUGACGGCCUUCGGGUUGUAAACCGCUUUCAGCUGGGACGAAGCGAGAGUGACGGUAAUGGGAGAAGAAGCACCGGCUAACUACGUG
RNAcentral lists this ribosomal RNA (468 nucleotides) under uncultured bacterium. RNAcentral's name for it is "partial 16S ribosomal RNA". It matches the Rfam family "Bacterial small subunit ribosomal RNA", at positions 28 to 507 of the family's 1533-position model. The record is from RNAcentral.